Molecule: ribosomal RNA, 253 nt
Filed under: uncultured bacterium
Lineage: Bacteria
Description: partial 16S ribosomal RNA
Rfam family: Bacterial small subunit ribosomal RNA
Source: RNAcentral
UACGUAGGGUGCGAGCGUUGUCCGGAAUUAUUGGGCGUAAAGAGCUCGUAGGCGGUUUGUUGCGUCGGCCGUGAAAACCUGCAGCUUAACUGUGGGCCUGCGGCCGAUACGGGCAGACUUGAGUUCGGUAGGGGAGACUGGAAUUCCUGGUGUAGCGGUGAAAUGCGCAGAUAUCAGGAGGAACACCGGUGGCGAAGGCGGGUCUCUGGGCCGAUACUGACGCUGAGGAGCGAAAGCGUGGGGAGCGAUCCGG